UACGGGGGGGGUAAGCGUUGUUCGGAAUUACUGGGCGUAAAGGGCUCGUAGGCGGCCAACUAAGUCAUACGUGAAAUCCCUCAGCUUAACUGGGGAACUGCGUGUGAUACUGGAUGGCUUGGAUUUGGGAGAGGGAUGCGGAAUUCCAGGUGUAGCGGUGAAAUGCGUAGAUAUCAUGAGGAAGACCAGUGGCGAAGGCGGGUCUCUGGACAGUUCCUGACACUGAGGCACGAAGGCCAGGGGAGCAAACGGG
RNAcentral lists this ribosomal RNA (253 nucleotides) under uncultured bacterium. Its description in RNAcentral is "partial 16S ribosomal RNA". It matches the Rfam family "Bacterial small subunit ribosomal RNA", at positions 524 to 776 of the family's 1533-position model. The record is from RNAcentral.